This 253-nucleotide ribosomal RNA is filed under the name uncultured bacterium. RNAcentral describes it as "partial 16S ribosomal RNA". It matches the Rfam family "Bacterial small subunit ribosomal RNA", at positions 524 to 776 of the family's 1533-position model. The record is from RNAcentral.
UACGUAGGGUCCGAGCGUCGUCCGGAAUUAUUGGGCGUAAAGGGCUCGUAGGCGGUUUGUCGCGUCGGGAGUGAAAACAGCCAGCUUAACUGGUUGCUUGCUUUCGAUACGGGCAGACUAGAGGUAUGCAGGGGAGAAUGGAAUUCCUGGUGUAGCGGUGAAAUGCGCAGAUAUCAGGAGGAACACCGGUGGCGAAGGCGGUUCUCUGGGCAUUACCUGACGCUGAGGAGCGAAAGUGUGGGGAGCGAACAGG